Molecule: long non-coding RNA, 1038 nt
Organism: Sycon ciliatum
Lineage: Eukaryota; Metazoa; Porifera; Calcarea; Leucosolenida; Sycettidae
Exons: 2
Source: RefSeq, a predicted model, not a curated record
UCCACGAAAAAAUGAAACUUUGAUAGCCUGUAGAGUUUCGGGCGCUGAGUCGAAUGGUCUUGGUCCGAAGUCUCUACGACGAAGCGUUCUUGAGAUAUUUCACUUUGAAAUUGCAAAAACGGGGGCCGCGCCCUGACGUCAUGCGGCCAUUUGGUUACAUCAUCACGGGCUGCCUACGUCAUUGUGGCAAAGUCGUUUCUCUUCGCCAGUCUACAAGCACUAAUUUUAGUUGGUAUUUCAAGGGAAGAUGGGCGAUUCCGAACAAUCCUCUGUCCCCAGCAAUGAAGGCAGCGAUGCUGAGGCCAGUGAGGACGACCAACAGCCCACCGCCGCGUAUGGUUGGGGCAGGGAGCCCAGAUACUCUGCUGAGGAGCUGCCAUCGCGUGUAACAAAUGUGGAGGAAGAAGAUGCGUCAGCAGCUGCGUCCGACAGAAGACGAGUAGCUUGGCCACCAGAAUCUCGAUUCGUUUGGGACUCCGACUGGUGCGAGCGUGGACAAAAGUGUAUAGCCAUGCCCAGCCCGCGGGAAUGAUUUUGCUGGUAGGAUGCUGCCGUCGCUGUCGACAAGACGGCCCAAGGUUUCUUGCGUAGCGGACCUCGCAGAUUACGAGAUCGUAUCCUUGCAUUAGGCUGUGCUCAUCACUGCUCUUCGAGGUUAUCUCGACAUGCAGAAGCCGCCAAUGCCAGUGACAGAAGAGUCUGACAUUAGAUCUCUACGCUAUGCGGCACACAGGCAGUACACACUAUGUACACGGCAAAUUGGGCAAGCACGUUCGUUGUCGUCUUCCAGCCUGCGUUGUGAAUACCAUCAGGCAAAGAUAUCCAAAUCCUGCACCACCUCAGCCUUCUCAGGAGGCUUCCACCUGGAAUUUGGCAGGGAAACACGCUUCUCCAAGGCAGGAACAUGGAGGUUGCCAUUUGCAACCGCUACCACCUCACACAUGAGCUUGUCAACAUACUCAUAGCUCUUUCUGUCGUAUAAUUUUCUAUUUUGCCACAGUCUUCUUUAUGCUUUGAGAACUGGACUUUAUACCUUCC